UACAUCACUUGAUCCAGAAAUCUGAUCUUGGUUGACUUUUCAAGUCAGACAAGUGCGUGAAUGGGAAUUAAAUUUGUUGAAUACCCUGACAUGCGUGACUGCAUUUCUUGAUCAAUUACCCUUGAACUUGUGUUUUUGGAUUUAUGUGGUACCUACAAGAAAAACUAACAUUAUGCAGCCUUUAUUUCUGCCAUCAUUUGUCACCAUCUACACUUCCCUUUUGACGGCCAGCUUGUGCUCCCCUCCUGCCCCCGCAGACCCGGCGGGUAGCGACGAGUGGAUGCCGACGAGUACCAGCGGGAAUCUACACGCAAUUUCUGUUAAUAAUGAUUCUCUACCAGUCAAUACUCUAAGCUUAAAAUCAAAUGGACAAGGUCAAGCAGCUACAGGUUAUUCUGAUUAUUCAAGAACAAUAAACAAUUCUCUCGUCCAAGAACAGAUUUUGCUUGAUAUUUACGAUCAAUACAAUGAUGUUUCAUUGCCAGCGGAGAAAGAUUUUACAAAAUGCCUUCACAGACAGGAAUUGUUGAACGAUUACAGCAAUGCUUCUUCUGCUUUCAUCGAGUGUGCAGUUAGAAAUGCUAAACCAGUAUUGUAUUGCGGGCAUUGUGUCUUCGAAUUUGAGCAAUCAAAGAAAGCAUGGAAUAAUAUUGAAUCUGAUGCAGAAUGUAAGGAAGACAUACUGGUUUCAGAUAAACUGCAGAUUGUGAGUCAAACGCAAACCUUCCUCGCUCAGCUGUGGCAUGAUGGGUAUUGUCAAAAUUGCUAUGAUGAAAAGCAGAACUUUAAUGCAACCAACUCGACUCGUGAAUUCAAAGAGAAAUACCGGGACACAUGGGCCUGCUUUCGGUACAAUGGUGGAUCCUCGGACAACCCUGUUCCAAUCGGCUCCAACCUGACGUUAUGUGGUAAUUGCAGUGAGGAAUAUGAGACGCUGAAUAAUCUCUACAAUGGCUUCAGUGACGAACAACUCUGUAUGGACAUCAUAGACUUGAUGAACCGGACACGGGUCCUAUGGAAAGACUACCACUGCCGGAAGACCAAGAAAGAGUAUUUAGCAGUGAUUGUCCUGAGCGUCUUCAUCUGUAUCUUACCGUUCUUCUUCUACCUUACAGCAAUGAUACAUGGUACAAAGAAACAACAGAGGCUUGUAGAAAAAUCUAAAAAAGGGAAUCAAAGAGGAUUAUCUGCAUCAGCAAGACUCUAUGCUGGGACAACGACAUCAUUGCGCUAGAGUAUUAAGCCUUGAGUACAGAUCAUUGAGGACUGAGGACGGUAAACAAACAAGAGACUCCAAAGAUCUACCCCAGAAUCCUUUCACCAGCACCAGGGUUGCCUAGGCCAAUAAUGGCCGAGAAGUAUGCGUAACGCACCUCGCCGAUCUGGCAGGAAGGUGCCAAUUGAGGUGAGGAGUUUUCGUGGACCGGUGGAUCUGAGAUUAAGUUAUUAAAAAAAGGAAAAGAAGAUGAAGAAAAAAAAAAGAAUAUAUUAUCAAAAACUAGAGAUUUAUAAACAGAAUGAAUUUCCAAAUACAUAUAGUAAACGAAAAAGUAAGACAAAAAAGGGAAAGGUGUAAAUAUUCUUAAAAAGAAUGAAACGCUAUAACACCAAAAAACAACAACAGCAUUGCAAAAAUAAUUUAUCAGUUCUACCGUGUAGAAAGCUCAUUGAUGGAGCUUCUCAUGGUAAGUAUUUGUGAUGCCUGCCUGGUAAGCUAACACAGGAAUGAGAUUCCUCCACAGAUCAGCGGAUUUGCGCUGAUUUUGAUAAUUCAGGACGGGAAAAAACAGAAAUUAAAGUUUUUUGUCUUUCUUUUUCAUCUGAACAUUGUUAUAGAGUCCCUUUAAGGUAGAUGGGGGUAACAAAUAUUUUCUCAAAUUAAGAAUUUAAAUGCAAGGAAAACGUGUCCGUUUAUGAUAGGGGGAGGGGGCACAGACCCCAUAACCCCCUCCUAGGGGCGUUGCCAGGGGACCCUCAUUUAAUAAUCUUCCUCCUUUUUGGGAAAUUUCUCUGUCUCAUCCCUGAUAUCACUGUUGGUGAUUGUCAUGGUGACUAUCUGUGUUGCCUGCCUGGUAAGAUUACACUGCUGGAAUCAGAUUGUCUUCAAUUUAUUGUCUGCCAUUUUGGGUAUUUAUAACGUCAAGAGUAAUAUUCCUAUACUUCACCCAGCUGCCUCUAUAUGCACUAAUAAUCCAGAUUGUGGUGAUAAUACAAACCUGCUGUAGUGACCACCUGUCUACAAAGACCACAUUUUUGUUUCCCUUGAAAAUGGUUUCUCAUUGAAACAUAUACUAAAGGCAACUGUCUAUAAAGACCACCUGCCUAUAGAGACCACUUUUCUUGUCUCCCUUGUGUGGUCUUUAUAGACAGGUUCCACUGUAAUACAAUGAGGUUCAUAUUGAUAAGAGCAGACUUAUUUCUGUGGGUACAUGCCUCCUUGCACAUGUAUUUCUAAAAACAUUUGUAGCACUAGCUGAAGAAGAUAUGAAGUUUUCAUACUGUGCACACCAAACAUAUUUGUAAUAGAAGCUUUGCUAUUUGUGUUCUUGACUUUACUCAAAUAACUAACAUUUCUGACUUGGACUAUUACAAAAGGAUAAUGCCAAGCUUUUCAAUCCUUAAGAUUUCAUGUCAUUUCAUAUUCAGUCAAAAUUAUAAUAACGAUAAUACACUUUACCUGUUUCUGGCAUUUCGAUGAUGAAAUGUGAAUGCAUAUUUGGAUUUCAUGACUGACUUUGAUUUUGGACUAUAAUUAUCAUGCACCAUGUCUUCCAUGAAACGAAAUCUGAUGAAAAAUAAGAGAGUAAUGAAUUUUGAAGGCUGCAAUAAAUCAAACACUGAUAUGGCAACUCUGUAAUGUAUCUUGCAAGCUCUUUUCCAAUUUGCUCUGUACA
Molecule: long non-coding RNA, 2894 nt
Filed under: Strongylocentrotus purpuratus (purple sea urchin)
Lineage: Eukaryota; Metazoa; Echinodermata; Echinoidea; Camarodonta; Strongylocentrotidae
Description: osteopetrosis-associated transmembrane protein 1
Source: RNAcentral